Molecule: ribosomal RNA, 439 nt
Filed under: uncultured bacterium
Lineage: Bacteria
Description: partial 16S ribosomal RNA
Rfam family: Bacterial small subunit ribosomal RNA
Source: RNAcentral
CCUACGGGUGGCAGCAGUGGGGAAUAUUGCACAAUGGGCGAAAGCCUGAUGCAGCAACGCCGCGUGAGGGAUGAAGGCCUUCGGGUCGUAAAGCUCUGUCCUCAAGGAAGAGAAUGACGGUACUUGAGGAGGAAGCCCCGGCUAACUACGUGCCAGCAGCCGCGGGAAUACGUAGGGGGCGAGCGUGAUCCGGAAUUACUGGGCUUAAAGGGUGCGUAGGUGGUUUCUUAAGUCAGAGGUGAAAGGCUACGGCUAAACCGUAGACAGCCUUUGAAAAUGGGGAACGUGAGUGCAGGAGAGGAGAGUGGAAUUCCUAGUGUAGCGGUGAAAUGCGUAGAUAUUAGGAGGAACACCAGUUGCGAAGGCGGCUCUCUGGACUAUAACUGACACUGAGGCACGAAAGCGUGGGGAGCAAACAGGAUUAGAUACCCGAGUAGUC